GCAUACAUUAUAUUUCAAUUUUAAAAAAAAGAAAGAAAAACAGAAAAAGAGAGAGACAGCACAUGAGAUCUUUGCAGCUUUGUUUUGAGCGGACGCGCUUGUCCCAUAGGUUGUUCAACUUGCCAGCUCUCUUCAGAGGACCCAACGGUGCCAGAGGAGACUUGCUCCAGGUCCCAUCUGAGACUUGGAAGCGGCUUCUCAUGCAUGUCUUCCCUCAAGUUUCUGGAAGGAUGAUGUGGGGCACGACCUGGGGGACAAAAGCAGUGGUUUCAUCCCCAGAAGCCUCAGCCGCUCAGUCCAUUUCCUUCUACAAUCAACUCUGGACUUGGAGAGGCAGUGUUUGUCUACAGUCAUAGAGUUAGCUGAUUCCAGUUCAGGAUGUUUUCUUCUGCACACAUGGAAAUCCAUGAUUCACAGGCAUACGUGCCCAAGCACCUGCUUGAUUUGUGUCUUCUCAAAAGUCAGUCCUGAGUGAAGAGGACUUCAGGUAAACCAAAAGGUUUGAAACUUUGAUAAAGUGUUUUAAUUGGGUUUCAUGACUGCAGAGAAGGCAAUGGCAC
Long non-coding RNA from Bos taurus (domestic cattle), 560 nucleotides. Lineage: Eukaryota; Metazoa; Chordata; Mammalia; Artiodactyla; Bovidae. The record is from Ensembl.